This 460-nucleotide ribosomal RNA is filed under the name uncultured bacterium. Its description in RNAcentral is "partial 16S ribosomal RNA". It matches the Rfam family "Bacterial small subunit ribosomal RNA", at positions 338 to 795 of the family's 1533-position model. The record is from RNAcentral.
CCUACGGGUGGCAGCAGUGAGGAAUAUUCGUCAAUGGACGAGAGUCUGAACCAGCCAAGUAGCGUGAAUGAUGACUGCCCUCUGGGUGGUAAACUUCUUUUAUAUGGGAAUAAAAUGUUCCACGUGUGGGGUUUUGUAUGUACCAUAUGAAUAAGGAUCGGCUAACUCCGUGCCAGCAGCCGCGGUAAUACGGAGGAUCCGAUCGUUAUCCGGAUUUAUUGGGUUUAAAGGGAGCGUAGGUGGAUUGUUAAGGCAGUUGUGAAAGUUUGCGGCUCAACCGUAAAAUUGCAGUUGAAACUGGCAGGCUUGAGUGCAGGAGAGGUGGGCGGAAUUCGGGGUGUAGCGGUGAAAUGCGUAGAUAUCACGAAGAACUCCGAUGGCGAAGGCAGUUCACUGGACUGCAACUGACACUGAGGCUCGAAAGUGUGGGGAUCAAACAGGAUUAGAUACCCUUGUAGUC